CCUACGAGGGGCUGCAGUGGGGAAUAUUGGACAAUGGGGGGAACCCUGAUCCAGCCAUGCCGCGUGUGUGAAGAAGGCCCUCGGGUUGUAAAGCACUUUCAGUGAGGAAGAACGCCUGGUGGUUAAUACCCAUCAGGAAAGACAUCACUCACAGAAGAAGCACCGGCUAACUCCGUGCCAGCAGCCGCGGUAAUACGGAGGGUGCGAGCGUUAAUCGGAAUUACUGGGCGUAAAGCGCGCGUAGGUGGCUUGAUAAGCCGGUUGUGAAAGCCCCGGGCUCAACCUGGGAACGGCAUCCGGAACUGUCAAGCUAGAGUGCAGGAGAGGAAGGUAGAAUUCCCGGUGUAGCGGUGAAAUGCGUAGAGAUCGGGAGGAAUACCAGUGGCGAAGGCGGCCUUCUGGACUGACACUGACACUGAGGUGCGAAAGCGUGGGUAGCAAACAGGAUUAGAUACCCUAGUAGUC
RNAcentral lists this ribosomal RNA (465 nucleotides) under Vreelandella stevensii. RNAcentral's name for it is "partial 16S ribosomal RNA". It matches the Rfam family "Bacterial small subunit ribosomal RNA", at positions 338 to 795 of the family's 1533-position model. Lineage: Bacteria; Pseudomonadati; Pseudomonadota; Gammaproteobacteria; Oceanospirillales; Halomonadaceae. The record is from RNAcentral.